Molecule: ribosomal RNA, 253 nt
Filed under: uncultured bacterium
Lineage: Bacteria
Description: partial 16S ribosomal RNA
Rfam family: Bacterial small subunit ribosomal RNA
Source: RNAcentral
UACGUAGGCAGCGAGCGUUGUUCGGAGUUACUGGGCGUAAAGCGUGCGUAGGCGGUGUUCCAAGUCUGUUGUGAAAUCUCCCGGCUUAACCGGGAGGGUGCGGCGGAAACUGGGAUGCUGGAGUGCGGGAGAGGUAAGCGGAAUUCCCGGUGUAGCGGUGAAAUGCGCAGAUAUCGGGAAGAACACCCGUGGCGAAGGCGGCUCUCUGGGACGGUACUGACGCUGAGACGCGAAAGCGUGGGGAGCGAACAGG